GGGCAUAGCUCAGUGGUAGAGUGCUUGCUUAGCAUGCACAAGGUCCUGGGUUCAAUCCCCAGUACCUCCA
RNAcentral lists this transfer RNA (70 nucleotides) under Camelus bactrianus (Bactrian camel). It matches the Rfam family "tRNA". Rfam says of the family: Transfer RNA (tRNA) molecules are approximately 80 nucleotides in length. Their secondary structure includes four short double-helical elements and three loops (D, anti-codon, and T loops). Further hydrogen bonds mediate the characteristic L-shaped molecular structure. tRNAs have two regions of fundamental functional importance: the anti-codon, which is responsible for specific mRNA codon recognition, and the 3' end, to which the tRNAs corresponding amino acid is attached (by aminoacyl-tRNA synthetases). tRNAs cope with the degeneracy of the genetic code in two manners: having more than one tRNA (with a specific anti-codon) for a particular amino acid; and 'wobble' base-pairing, i.e. permitting non-standard base-pairing at the 3rd anti-codon position. RNAcentral also lists the same sequence under 2 other names. Lineage: Eukaryota; Metazoa; Chordata; Mammalia; Artiodactyla; Camelidae. The record is from Rfam by way of RNAcentral.